This 450-nucleotide ribosomal RNA is filed under the name uncultured bacterium. RNAcentral's name for it is "bacterial SSU rRNA". It matches the Rfam family "Bacterial small subunit ribosomal RNA", at positions 331 to 798 of the family's 1533-position model. The record is from RNAcentral.
CCAGACUCCUACGGGAGGCAGCAGUGGGGAAUAUUGGACAAUGGGCGCAAGCCUGAUCCAGCAAUGCCGCGUGAGUGAAGAAGGUCUUCGGAUUGUAAAGCUCUUUCGACGGGGACGAUGAUGACGGUACCCGUAGAAGAAGCCCCGGCUAACUUCGUGCCAGCAGCCGCGGUAAUACGAAGGGGGCUAGCGUUGCUCGGAAUGACUGGGCGUAAAGGGCGCGUAGGCGGUUCGUACAGUCAGACGUGAAAUUCCCGGGCUCAACCUGGGGGCUGCGUUUGAUACGUGCGGGCUUGAGUUCGGAAGAGGGUCGUGGAAUUCCCAGUGUAGAGGUGAAAUUCGUAGAUAUUGGGAAGAACACCGGUGGCGAAGGCGGCGACCUGGUCCGAUACUGACGCUGAGGCUCGAAAGUGUGGGGAGCAAACAGGAUUAGAUACCCUGGUAGUCCAC